CCCGUCACACCAUGGGAGUGUGCUGCACCAGAAGUGGGUAGCCUAACGUCGCAAGACGGGGGCGCUGACCACGGUGUGGUCCAUGACUGGGGUG
RNAcentral lists this ribosomal RNA (94 nucleotides) under uncultured bacterium. Its description in RNAcentral is "partial 16S ribosomal RNA". The record is from RNAcentral.